Long non-coding RNA from Linepithema humile (Argentine ant), 448 nucleotides. RefSeq lists it as uncharacterized. NCBI's taxonomy places the organism in Eukaryota, Metazoa, Arthropoda, Insecta, Hymenoptera, Formicidae. The record is from RefSeq and is a predicted model, not a curated record.
UGUUUACAGAAAGGAGGUUUCGGAAUCAACGAAAGAUCGAUCGUCAUUCUCGAUGCUGUUGUCUUUUAGCCGACCACAAUACGUCUCUUAAACUUGCAAUCUACUUGGACAUGUACUAAAAAACAAGGAAUUUGAACAUUUCGAACUCGAUUCUUCUUAAGAAAAGAAAUCUAUCAGAUUUUGACAAAAAGAUAUUUUAUUAAUCGUAACUGCUAAAAAUUCAAUUAAAAAGACACACGAGACGAUGGCUUUCAAAAUAAAUUUGUUAUUUAUAUUUGUCGUCUUUAACAUAUCUAGCAUGGGAGACAUAAUUUAUGAACCAAAAUCACCUUCGCGUGCCUCUUCGCGACCUGCAUAUUGUCACUUUGAGUUUGACCAUGGUGCUUGCUAUUCGAAUUUAAUGGAGAAAUAUUUCAAACCUGACAUGAAAUUUGGGUUUUCGACAGAU